RNAcentral lists this ribosomal RNA (492 nucleotides) under uncultured bacterium. RNAcentral describes it as "partial 16S ribosomal RNA". It matches the Rfam family "Bacterial small subunit ribosomal RNA", at positions 29 to 507 of the family's 1533-position model. The record is from RNAcentral.
AGUGAACGCUGGCGGUAGGCCUAACACAUGCAAGUCGAACGGCAGCACAGUAAGAGCUUGCUCUUACGGGUGGCGAGUGGCGGACGGGUGAGGAAUACAUCGGAAUCUACUUUUUCGUGGGGGAUAACGUAGGGAAACUUACGCUAAUACCGCAUACGACCUACGGGUGAAAGCAGGGGAUCUUCGGACCUUGCGCGGUUGAAUGAGCCGAUGUCGGAUUAGCUAGUUGGCGGGGUAAAGGCCCACCAAGGCGACGAUCCGUAGCUGGUCUGAGAGGAUGAUCAGCCACACUGGAACUGAGACACGGUCCAGACUCCUACGGGAGGCAACAGUGGGGAAUAUUGGACAAUGGGCGCAAGCCUGAUCCAGCCAUACCGCGUGGGUGAAGAAGGCCUUCGGGUUGUAAAGCCCUUUUGUUGGGAAAGAAAAGCAGCAGGUUAAUACCCCGCUGUUCUGACGGUACCCAAAGAAUAAGCACCGGCUAACUUCGUG